CGUGGCUCUGUUGCUAUGGUAGUAAGAACAUGCUUUCGUUCUUCCAUAGGUGUUUGCAUGGGGACAUAUGUGGCUGUUUCCAUGGCAACAAGGUGCCUUAUCUCUUAGUGGAGCAGGAGUACAUAAGAAAAAAAGGCUUGAAUGAGUCCGAAGAGGGGGAAAUUGAAAGUGAAACUGGGCACUUCCAAAGCUAUGAUGCUGUGAGGCAAAGAAAAAAAUUCAACCUUCAAGUGUCCUGUGUUCAAGGAAUAAAAACCUCAGGAGUCCUGGCCUUCAACAAAUUUGAAGCCCAGUUCCUUAUCUUACAGAAGCAGAAAAUAAAACCCAUGGGGAGCCAUUUUGUAUUUGUAAAGGAUUUCAUGGAAAGGCACAGAGAACUACCUAGAAUGAGAAGGCCGGAAGGAAUUGAGGGAGCAUCACCCCUCCCUCCAUGAUCAAAAAUCACAAAUCCGUCAAAGCAACAUACCUGGCUGUAUUUCUAUUCUAAGCCUGUAUCACAUCUCAGGGUAAAUAUAUUACCUGCUGUGUGAAGAAGGGCCUCCUGUUAUUUGUCCUACAUUUAAUUAUCUCAAUGUAUGUUAUUUUCAGCUU
Molecule: long non-coding RNA, 591 nt
Filed under: Monodelphis domestica (gray short-tailed opossum)
Lineage: Eukaryota; Metazoa; Chordata; Mammalia; Didelphimorphia; Didelphidae
Description: lncRNA (ENSMODG00000044554.1)
Source: RNAcentral